Molecule: non-coding RNA, 318 nt
Organism: Paramuricea clavata
Lineage: Eukaryota; Metazoa; Cnidaria; Anthozoa; Malacalcyonacea; Plexauridae
Source: the annotation of a GenBank genome assembly
AAUAGUUGUCGAAUAAAGCUCAAUAUUUUGGACACAAAAAUGUAAACAAAGGCUUUGUUUACAUACGGACUGUAGAUCACCUUUAACAAUAAUUUAUCCAUUACUUAUUAUUAAAGGGGGAUAGCAAUGGCCGUGGGUCACGUGUGUGGCCGACAUACCGCGAAUGAAUAGGGGGGUCUGGAGGCAUUAACUCCCCAGAAAAUUUUUGAAAUUUCAAGCCCAAAAAUGCCAUUUCCUGCCGUCUGAGCAUCUAAAUUUUCUAGAAUUUAUCCUAACUAUACUUCUAUUUGAAAUAAAAGAAGGAAAAAACACACAAAG